Oreochromis niloticus (Nile tilapia) is the source of this 2104-nucleotide long non-coding RNA. RefSeq lists it as uncharacterized. NCBI's taxonomy places the organism in Eukaryota, Metazoa, Chordata, Actinopteri, Cichliformes, Cichlidae. The record is from RefSeq and is a predicted model, not a curated record. The transcript has 6 exons.
GAUGCUCAAAUUCAAGAUAGACGUUAUCUAUCAAUCUAGCUCUCUCUUUCUGUCUCUCUCUCUCUCGAUUAAAAACUUAAUAACAGCAUUACAUAAUCAUUAAAUAGCAGACCGAUCAUCUAUGCUGCAAAUGCAAAUGAAAUAGAAAUGGACAGUAAACAGGGUUUAUCUAAAUCGUUACAAAAGGGUUUAAUGUAUAUAUGUAUUUAUAAGGUGCUUCUGAAUUCUGAAUACUUUUUUUUUUCUAAACAGGUUCUUCAUCAAUCAACCUAUUAUUGCUUCCUACAUCUGCUUUUUGAAAAACUCCCAAAGGCACUUUUAAGAGCCACGUCAGUCUGUUUGUAUCUGUUCUUACUGCUGUCCUUAUUGGUCUGUCUGUCUGUUUCUAUCCGCAUUUUUGUCUCUUUAACUCUUCAGCUUUUUUGUUUUUGUCAGUGUGCUGCCUUUUCUGUGUGUAAUUAUUCUUUGUUUCAACAUGACACGCCCCAAAUUCAGGCCCUGUACAUCUUGCCAGACUCCCAAUCAGGCAAGCAGAAGAACCUGCUGUGUCUGCUUCGGAAGUCUGUCCACCAAAAAGAAGCUAAAAGAAAAAGUAGAAUCAUUGGAUAGCCAGUGGGCGCAAGUUGUCUUGAAAAACAGAAAUGUUGGCCGGAUAAUUGAUUCUGCCCGUAUUGCAGUGCGGAAACUUGAGUCUAUAGGCUACAAGCCCAUUUUAUUUAUUGGCAAAAAAGACAAGGAUUCACAUAAGUGGGUAGCAGAUGUUAUUACCCAUUUGGACCCCACUUCUACUCCAAGAAAUUUCCUGGAGAAGAUGCAGAGGGCUUAUGAAUUUAUACUGUCUAAGGGAACCUCCACACCAGUGCACCCCAAUACCCCCACAGAACAGCAGCUUGUGCAGUCCAAGAAUGCCACCAAGGAGCAUUGUGCCGACAAACAGACCCACAUCAAAGAGCACGCAGAGAUCCCCAGUGAAGAACAGGCAGAGACCCUGAUCAACAAGCAAGCAGAGAGCCUCGCCAAGGAGCAGCCUGAGAUGACCACCCAGGAACAUCAAGCUUCUAGGCUCCUCGAGGAGCACCCAAAGAGCCUGUCAGACGAGCAGACAGAGACUGAUUUUGUUCUCAAUCUUGUUCCUUUAUCUCCUUCUUCUGUUCCAUGCUCCCAGUCUUUCCAAAAAAAGAAGAGAGACAGAAGCACCGCACAAACAACCUCUCCCACCUCUCCACCACCUUUUAAACCCGCAGACCAGCCAUCUCUGCAGUCUCUUCAUCCACCUGCUAGCCACGCGAUCUCCCAGUCCUUAAGUCAAGGGUGGCCAACAUGAAAAUAAGAAGAGAAAGAGCUGUUGAAGAUGUAGUAGGCAGAAGGUGUUCCAGUUUGAAGCAGUCACUGAGAGCACGAUAAAUGAGGGGAAUGCAGAAGUAAAAGUGCGUUGGUUGCCUUGCUCUGUUUGUGGGAAAAUCUGGGAUGACACGUGGGAGCCAGCCAGUGAAUUUCAACACCACUUUGCCAUGCCAGAUGUGCCACCUCCUUCAGCCACUGAGGAAGUCUUUUUAUGAUGUUGUGAUGAUUGUUUUUCCAUGUUACAAACAAGUAACAUAUAAUGUCUGAAAACUGCAGUUGUGUAUUGUCUACAAGGAACACUUUCAGAAAUAUGUGGAACCAAAGGUCCAUACAUCCAGAUGUCACACUGAUCUUCUCUGUUCACAGACAGGAUAUGUUCAUUUUCAGCAGUUUGAUUGUUUAGAAACGUUAGACAAAUAUUUAUACUUGUUUAAAUGCAUUGUGUUACGUAAAAAAAAGACUUUAUCUUAUGUUGUUAACUACAAUAGUAGUUCUGUGUUCUUAACUUGAAUGUUUUUGUACAGCAUUCAUAUUUGCUACAUUCUUUAAAAAGUGAGUGUAGACUGUUAAAAUUGUUACGGUGAAUAUGACCCGCAGCUAGCAACUGAAUCCAUAAAACCCAUCAGUCUGUUUCCCUUUGUUUCUCAUAUGAAGUUGUUAUUGUAAACAGGUGGUUUGUUUAGUUUGAAAUAUGAAGGCUGGUGAAAUUGUACUGAGUACUGUCAAUGAAAAGUAAAAUAAAAAAUCAAAGGUUUAUUGA